Molecule: ribosomal RNA, 433 nt
Filed under: uncultured bacterium
Lineage: Bacteria
Description: partial 16S ribosomal RNA
Rfam family: Bacterial small subunit ribosomal RNA
Source: RNAcentral
AACGAACGCUGGCGGCAUGCCUAACACAUGCAAGUCGAACGAGACCUUCGGGUCUAGUGGCGCACGGGUGCGUAAAGCGUCGGAACCUGCCCUUAGGUUCGGAAUAACUCCCCGAAAGGGGUGCUAAUACCGGGUAAUGUCUUCGGACCAAAGAUUUAUCGCCUUUGGAUGGGCCCGCGUUGGAUUAGCUAGUUGGUAGGGUAAAAGCCUACCAAGGCGACGAUCCAUAGCUGGGCUGAGAGGAUGAUCAGCCACACUGGGACUGAGACACGGCCCAGACUCCUACGGGAGGCAGCAGUGGGGAAUAUUGGACAAUGGGCGAAAGCCUGAUCCAGCAAUGCCGCGUGAGUGAUGAAGGCCUUAGGGUUGUAAAGCUCUUUUACCCGGGAUGAUAAUGACAGUACCGGGAGAAUAAGCUCCGGCUAACUCCGUG